UUAAAAAAAAAAAUAAUCAAACAAAAAAAAAAAUAAUCAAACAAAAAUAAACUAAAUUACACUAAAAAUGAUUCUCAAAAUAAGAUACAGGAUCCGCUGAUCCUUGUUUCUGUACAGGCCUGUUCCACAGAUGGAUGAAAGGAGAUGAAGAUACCUCCAGGCACCCACACCCACACCACCACACCACCACACCGCAAGCACACAUUCGCAAUCGAACUCGAACUCGAACUCGUCAACGCUUUUGCACAACUAUACUAUUGCAGGAUGGAACCGGCCGAAAGCACAGUGGAUGGCAUCCUGGACAAGAGCUUCAUUGGGCAGAUAAACCAAGAAGCAAACUAUAUGCAGCCUCUACCUUGGUAUUGAAGGCUCUGCUGUCGAUGCCAUCGGCACAGGAUCCGCUGAUCCUUGUUUCUGUACAGGCCUCUUCCACAGAUGGAUGAAAGGAGAGGAAGAUACCUCCAGGCACCCACACCCACACCACACCACAACUAUACUAUUGCAGAAUGGAACCGGCCGAAGGCACAGGGGAUGGCAUCCUGGACAAGAGCUUCAUUGGGCAGAUAAACCAAGAAGCAAACUAUAAGCAGCCUCUACCUUGGUAUUGAAGGCUCUGCUGUCGAUGCCAUCGGCACAGGAUCCGCUGAUCCUUGUUUCUGUACAGGCCUCUUCCACAGAUGGAUGAAAGGAGAGGAAGAUACCUCCAGGCACCCACACCCACACCACACCACAACUAUACUAUUGCAGGAUGGAACCGGCCGAUAGCACAGUGGAUGGCAUCCUGGACAAGAGCUUCAUUGGGCAGAUAAACCAAGAAGAAAACUAUAAGCAGCCUCUACCAUGGUAUUGAAGGCUCUGCUGUCGAUGGCAUCGGCACUCGACACUGUGGGCUCUGGUCUCGGCUCUGAAUAUCGUGGAUCACAUUAAGAAACAGAACAACAAAUCACGGAUUAUUGCCAGCACAGAACACCAAUCGACACAUUUUAUCGACUUUGUUUAUAGCAAAUGGGGGAUCAUUAAAAAUUUGAUUUAAU
Molecule: unclassified non-coding RNA, 1034 nt
Filed under: Drosophila pseudoobscura pseudoobscura
Lineage: Eukaryota; Metazoa; Arthropoda; Insecta; Diptera; Drosophilidae
Description: GA22958
Source: RNAcentral